AAGUCGUAACAAGGUUUCCGUAGGUGAACCUGCGGAAGGAUCAUUAUAAAAUUUUCAUAUAUUAAAUUUAUUUAAUGUAUAAAAUAAUAUUAUAUUCAAAACCCACACUCUUUUAAACCAUUAUAUAAAAAAUAUUAUAAUUAUAAAAACAACUUUCAACAACGGAUCUCUUGGCUCUC
RNAcentral lists this unclassified non-coding RNA (179 nucleotides) under Entrophospora drummondii. Its description in RNAcentral is "Claroideoglomus drummondii partial internal transcribed spacer region". The stretch from base 1 to 46 matches the Rfam family "Eukaryotic small subunit ribosomal RNA", at positions 1786 to 1831 of the family's 1831-position model. The record is from RNAcentral. Lineage: Eukaryota; Fungi; Glomeromycota; Glomeromycetes; Entrophosporales; Entrophosporaceae.